Molecule: long non-coding RNA, 118 nt
Organism: Mandrillus leucophaeus (drill)
Lineage: Eukaryota; Metazoa; Chordata; Mammalia; Primates; Cercopithecidae
Exons: 2
Source: RefSeq, a predicted model, not a curated record
ACUUUAUGUUGAACUGUGGUAGAGGAAACAAGACAGUUCUGUCUGCAGAAGCCCAUUAUGGCUGUAACUGGAGAUGACACAGAUGAGGAAACUGAACUUGCCCCAAGUCACAUGGCUG